Molecule: RNase P RNA, 370 nt
Filed under: Candidatus Aminicenantota bacterium
Lineage: Bacteria; Candidatus Aminicenantota
Description: Candidatus Aminicenantes bacterium RNase P RNA component class A
Rfam family: Bacterial RNase P class A
About the family: Ribonuclease P (RNase P) is a ubiquitous endoribonuclease, found in archaea, bacteria and eukarya as well as chloroplasts and mitochondria.
Source: RNAcentral
GGAGUAGGUGAGGUGGUUGCUUCUUCUUCCCUAUCCGGGAAAGAAGGGGAGGAAAGUCCGGACUCCAAAGGGCAGGAUGGUCGCUAACAGCGACUUCGAGCGAUCGAAGGAAAGUGUCACAGAAAACACACCGCCUUAAGAGGUUUUUUGCUUAUUGAGGUAAGGGUGAAAUGGUGAGGUAAGAGCUCACCGCUUCGGUGGCGACACCGGAGGCAGGGCAAACCCCAUCCGGAGAAAGACCAAAUUGGCCUCAUGCGGUGGCCCGCUGCUAAGGGGCGGGUAGGUCGCUUAACUUCUUGAGCAAUCAAGAAGUCAGAUAAAUAACCACCCCAGGAAUGGAACAGAAUCCGGCUUACAACCUACUCCAGUU